RNAcentral lists this ribosomal RNA (631 nucleotides) under uncultured bacterium. Its description in RNAcentral is "bacterial SSU rRNA". It matches the Rfam family "Bacterial small subunit ribosomal RNA", at positions 749 to 1390 of the family's 1533-position model. The record is from RNAcentral.
AGGCACGAAAGCGUGGGUAGCGAACGGGAUUAGAUACCCCGGUAGUCCACGCUGUAAACGAUGUGAACGAGGUGUGGGCAGUGUAGAAGCCGUCUGUGCCGGAGCAAACGCGAUAAGUUCACCGCCUGGGGAGUACGGUCGCAAGGCUAAAACCCAAAGGAAUUGACGGGGGCCCGCACAAGCAGCGGAGCGUGUGGUUUAAUUCGAUGCAACGCGAAGAACCUUACCUGGGCUUGACAUGUACGUAGUAGUGAAGGGAAACCGGAACGAGCCUUCGGGCAGCGUAGACAGGUGCUGCAUGGCUGUCGUCAGCUCGUGUCGUGAGAUGUUGGGUUAAGUCCCGCAACGAGCGCAACCCGUGUUGCUAGUUACAAGUGUCUAGCGAGACUGCCGGUAACAAGCCGGAGGAAGGUGCGGAUGAUGUCAAGUCAGCAUGGCCUAUAUGUCCAGGGCUACACACACGCUACAAUGGCUGGUACAAAGAGAAGCGAAAGGGAGACCUGAAGCGAAUCUCAUCAAAGCCAGUCAUAGUUCGGAUUGCAGGCUGCAACUCGCCUGCAUGAAGUCGGAGUUGCUAGUAACCGCAGGUCAGCAAUACUGCGGUGAAUACGUUCCCGGGCCUUGUACACAC